RNAcentral lists this unclassified non-coding RNA (185 nucleotides) under Basidiomycota sp. RNAcentral's name for it is "partial contains small subunit ribosomal RNA, internal transcribed spacer 1, and 5.8S ribosomal RNA". The stretch from base 1 to 47 matches the Rfam family "Eukaryotic small subunit ribosomal RNA", at positions 1785 to 1831 of the family's 1831-position model. Lineage: Eukaryota; Fungi; Basidiomycota. The record is from RNAcentral.
AAAGUCGUAACAAGGUUUCCGUAGGUGAACCUGCGGAAGGAUCAUUGUGAAUCAGUAGGAAAAUUUGUUGAAGGAGGGGGAGGAGGAGAUAUCUUUACGAUAUCUCUUUGUUCUCCAAGCAUCCACAUUUGCCAAUCGUAUGUCAGCAAUCAGUACAACUUUUAACAAUGGAUCUCUAGGCUCUU